RNAcentral lists this ribosomal RNA (496 nucleotides) under uncultured bacterium. RNAcentral describes it as "partial 16S ribosomal RNA". It matches the Rfam family "Bacterial small subunit ribosomal RNA", at positions 28 to 506 of the family's 1533-position model. The record is from RNAcentral.
GAUGAACGCUGGCGGCGUGCCUAAUACAUGCAAGUCGAGCGAACAGACGAGGAGCUUGCUCCUCUGACGUUAGCGGCGGACGGGUGAGUAACACGUGGAUAACCUACCUAUAAGACUGGGAUAACUUCGGGAAACCGGAGCUAAUACCGGAUAAUAUAUUGAACCGCAUGGUUCAAUAGUGAAAGACGGUUUUGCUGUCACUUAUAGAUGGAUCCGCGCCGCAUUAGUUAGUUGGUAAGGUAACGGCUUACCAAGGCAACGAUGCGUAGCCGACCUGAGAGGGUGAUCGGCCACACUGGAACUGAGACACGGUCCAGACUCCUACGGGAGGCAGCAGUAGGGAAUCUUCCGCAAUGGGCGAAAGCUUGACGGAGCAACGCCGCGUGAGUGAUGAAGGUCUUCGGAUCGUAAAACUCUGUUAUUAGGGAAGAACAAAUGUGUAAGUAACUAUGCACGUCUUGACGGUACCUAAUCAGAAAGCCACGGCUAACUACGU